UGGAGCCAGGUGGCUGAGAGGGUCUUAGUGGAGCCGGCUGAGUGAGAGGGUCUUAGUGGAGCCGGCUGAGUGAGAGGGCCCUAGUGGAGCCAGGUGGCUGAGAGGGCCCUAGUGGAGACAGGUGGCUGAGAGGGCCCUAGUGGAGACAGGUGGCUGAGAGGGCCCUAGUGGAGACAGGUGGCUGAGAGGGCCCUAGUGGAGCAGGCUGGCUGAGAGGCCCCUAGUGGAGCCGGGUGACUGAGAGGGCCCUUUUGGAGACAGGUGGCUGAGAGGGCCCUAGUGGAGCCGGAUGGCUGAGAGGGCCCUAGUGGAGAAAGCUGGCUGAGAGAGCCCUAGUGGAGCCGAGUGACUGAGAGGGCCCUAGUGGAGAAAGCUGAGUGAGAGGGCCCCAGUGGAGAAAGCUGAGUGAGAGGGCCCCAGUGGAGCAGGCUGAGUGAGAGGGCCCUAGUGGAGCCAGGUGGCUACGAGGGCCCUAGUGGAGCCAGGUGGCUGAGAGGGCCCUAGUGGAGACAGGUGGCUGAGAGGGCCCUAGUGGAGACAGGUGGCUGAGAGGGCCCUAGUGGAGCAGGCUGGCUGAGAGGCCCCUAGUGGAGCCGGGUGACUGAGAGGGCCCUUUUGGAGACAGGUGGCUGAGAGGGCCCUAGUGGAGCCGGAUGGCUGAGAGGGCCCUAGUGGAGAAAGCUGGCUGAGAGAGCCCUAGUGGAGCCGAGUGACUGAGAGGGCCCUAGUGGAGAAAGCUGAGUGAGAGGGCCCCAGUGGAGAAAGCUGAGUGAGAGGGCCCCAGUGGAGCAGGCUGAGUGAGAGGGCCCUAGUGGAGCCAGGUGGCUACGAGGGCCCUAGUGGAGCCGGGUGACUGAGAGGGCCCUAGUGGAGCCGGGUGACUGAGAGGGCCCUAGUUGAGCAGGCUGGCUGAGAGGCCCCUAGUGGAGCCGGGUGACUGAGAGGGCCCUUUUGGAGACAGGUGGCUGAGAGGGCCCUAGUGGAGCCGGAUGGCUGAGAGGGCCCGAGUGGAGCCAGCUGACUGAGAGGGUCCAAGUGGAUCCUGGUGGCUGAGAGGGCCCUAGUGGAGCCGGCUGAGUGAGAGGGCCCUAGUGGAGAAAGCUGGCUGAGAGGGCCCUAGUGGAGCCGGGUGACUGAGAGGGCCCUUUUGGAGACAGGUGGCUGAGAGGGCCCUAGUGGAGCCGGAUGGCUGAGAGGGCCCUAGUGGAGCCAGCUGACUGAGAGGGUCCAAGUGGAUCCUGGUGGCUGAGAGGGCCCUAGUGGAGAAAGCUGGCUGAGAGGGCCUCAGUGGAGCAGGCUGGCUGACAGGGUCCAAGUGGAGAAAGCUGGCUGAGAGGGCCUCAGUGGAGCAGGCUGGCUGAGAGGGUCCAAGUGGAGACAGCUGGCUGAGAGGGCCCUAGUGGAGCCGGCUGAGUGAGAGGGCCCUAGUGGAGACAGGUGGCUGAGAGGCCCCUAGUGGAGCCGGGUGACUGAGAGGGCCCUUUUGGAGACAGGUGGCUGAGAGGGCCCUAGUGGAGCCGGACUGCUGAGAGGAUCCAAGUGGAUCCUGGUGGCUGAGAGGGCCCUAGUGGAGCCAGCUGGCUGAGAGGGUCCAAGUGGAGCCAGCUGGCUGAGAGGGUCCAAGUGGAGCCAGCUGGCUGAGAGGGUCCAAGUGGAGACAGUUGACUGAGAGGGCCCCUGUGGAGCCGGCUGAGUGAGAGGGCCCUAGUGGAGAAAGCUGGCUGAGAGAGCCCUAGUGGAGAAAGCUGAGUGAGAGGGCCCUAGUGGAGAAAGCUGAGUGAGAGGGCCCCAGUGGAGAAAGCUGAGUGAGAGGGCCCCAGUGGAGCAGGCUGAGUGAGAGGGCCCUAGUGGAGCCAGGUGGCUACGAGGGCCCUAGUGGAGCCGGGUGACUGAGAGGGCCCUAGUGGAGCCGGGUGACUGAGAUGGCCCUAGUUGAGCAGGCUGGCUGAGAGGCCCCUAGUGGAGCCGGGUGACUGAGAGGGCCCUUUUGGAGACAGGUGGCUGAGAGGGCCCUAGUGGAGCCGGAUGGCUGAGAGGGCCCGAGUGGAGCCAGCUGACUGAGAGGGUCCAAGUGGAUCCUGGUGGCUGAGAGGGCCCUAGUGGAGCCGGCUGAGUGAGAGGGCCCUAGUGGAGAAAGCUGGCUGAGAGGGCCCUAGUAGAGCCGGGUGACUGAGAGGGCCCUAGUGGAGAAAGCUGGCUGAGAGGGCCCCAGUGGAGCAGGCUGAGUGAGAGGGCCCUAGUGGAGCCAGGUGACUUAGAGGGCCCUAGUGGAGCCGGGUGACUGAGAGGGCCCUAGUGGAGACGGCUGGCUGAGAGGGCCCUAGUGGAGCCGGGUGACUGAGAGGGCCCUUUUGGAGCCAGCUGACUGAGAGGGUCCAAAUGGAUCCUGGUGGCUGAGAGGGCCCUAGUGGAGCCAGCUGGCUGAGAGGGCCCUAGUGGAGCCAGGUGGCUGAGAGGGCCCUAGUGGAGCCAGGUGGCUGAGAGGGCCCUAGUGGAGCCGGGUGACUGAGAGGGCCCUAGUGGAGACAGGUGGCUGAGAGGGCCCUAGUGGAGCAGGCUGGCUGAGAGGCCCCUAGUGGAGCCGGGUGACUGAGAGGCCCCUUUUGGAGAGAGGUGGCUGAGAGGGCCCAAGUGGAGCAGGCUGAGUGAGAGGGCCAUAGUGGAGCCGGCUGAGUGAGAGGGCCCUAGUGGAGCCAGGUGGCUGAGAGGCCCCUAGUGGAGCCGGGUGACUGAGAGGCCCCUUUUGGAGACAGGUGGCUGAGAGGGCCCUAGUGGAGCCAGGUGGCUGAGAGGCCCCUAGUGGAGCCGGGUGACUGAGAGGGCCCUUUUGGAGACAGGUGGCUGAGAGGGCCCUAGUGGAGCCGGAUGGCUGAGAGGGCCCAAGUGGAUCCUGGUGGCUGAGAGGGCCCAAGUGGAUCCUGGUGGCUGAGAGGGCCCUAGUGGAGCCAGCUGGCUGAGAGGGCCCUAUUGGAGACAGUUGACUGAGAGGGCCCUAGUGGAGCCAGCUGGCUGAGAGGGUCCUAGUGGAGCCGGCUGGCUGAGAGGGUCCUAGUGGAGCCGGCUGGCUGAGAGGGUCCUAGUGGAGCCGGCUGAGUGAGAGGGCCCUAGUGGAGACAGGUGGCUGAGUGGGCCCUUUUGGAGACAGCUGACUGAGAGGGUCCUAGUGGAGACAGCUGACUGAGAGGGCCCUAGUGGAGCCGGAUGGCUGAGAGGGCCCUAGUGGAGCCAGCUGACUGAGAGGGUCCAAGUGGAUCCUGGUGGCUGAGAGGGUUCUAGUGGAGCCAGCUGGCUGAGAGGGCCCUAGUGGAGACAGUUGACUGAGAGGGCCCUAGUGGAGCCGGCUGGCUGAGAGGGUCCUAGUGGAGCCGGCUGGCUGAGAGGGUCCUAGUGGAGACAGGUGGCUGAGUGAGAGGGCCCUAGUGGAGACAGGUGGCUGAAAGGGCCCUAGUGGAGCAGGCUGGCUGAGAGGUCCCUAGUGGAGCCAGCUGGCUGAGAGGGUCUAUGGUGGUAAAAUUGCUGUUAUGUUUAGUGUAUCUAUGUAUUUAAUUAGUCUGUAAUAAUGUUUAUCUAGUGUAUCUAUGUAUUUAAUUAGUCUGUAAUAAUGUUUAUCCAGUGUAUCUAUGUAUUUAAUUAGUCUGUAAUAAUGUUUAUCUAGUGUAUCUAUGUAUUUAAUUAGUCUUUAAUAAUGUUUAUCCAGUGUAUCUAUGUAUUUAAUUAGUCUGUAAUAAUGUUUAUCCAGUGUAUCUAUGUAUUUAAUUAGUCUGUAAUAAUGUUUAUCUAGUGUAUCUAUGUAUUUAAUUAGUCUGUAAUAAUGUUUAUCCAGUGUAUCUCUGUAUUUAAUUAGUCUGUAAUAAUGUUUAUCCAGUGUAUCUCUGUAUUUAAUUAGUCUGUUAUAAUGUUCAUCUAGUGUAUCUCUGUAUUUAAUUAGUCUGUUAUAAUGUUCAUCUAGUGUAUCUCUGUAUUUAAUUAGUCUGUAAUAAUGUUUAUCUAGUGUAUCUCUGUAUUUAAUUAGUCUGUAAUAAUGUUUAUCCAGUGUAUCUCUGUAUUUAAUUAGUCUGUAAUAAUGUUUAUCUAGUGUAUCUAUGUAUUUAAUUAGUCUGUAAUAAUGUUUAUCUAGUGUAUCUAUGUAUUUAAUUAGUCUGUAAUAAUGUUUAUCCAGUGUAUCUAUGUAUUUAAUUAGUCUGUAAUAAUGUUUAUCCAGUGUAUCUAUGUAUUUAAUUAGUCUGUAAUAAUGUUUAUCUAGUGUAUCUAUGUAUUUAAUUAGUCUGUAAUAAUGUUUAUCUAGUGUAUCUAUAUAUUUACCUAAAGUCACAUGAUGUACUGAUGAGACUUGCUCCCUCUGCUAGAACACUUCCCCGUUGUCUACAUGACUGACUCAUGGUUCUGGACUCACAGCCAAAUGCUGUUUCUCCAUAUCCUGUUAUUUAGCAGUAGACUGAACUAAACUGUGAGAGACGAACAGGACAAAUGGUUGUGGUUCCUUUGAGAAACAGUGUUGAGACAUUGAGCACUGAGAAAUGGUGUGACAUUUCUCAACAAGACCUCACCACAAAAGUCACAAUGUGGAAAGGUGAACAUCUCUCUGCAGAGGAGAUUAUAUAUAAUUUAAUAUAUUUGUUUUCAUCUGUUUUUGUUUUCUCAAUAGUUCAGUUCCAUAGGUCAGAGGUCAAGCUGAGCUGAGCCAAUAGUGGAAGAGGUUACUGGUUGACUAUAUUCAGUUGACUGUAUGUUACUAUGUCAGCCCUCUGUCUUUUGACACCUCCCUCCCUUUAUCUCACCCUCCCCACCCCCUCCUCUCUCUUUCUCUCUCUCUUCCUGACAUAUAGCAUCAGGCCUGUUGAUCUUGACUCAAGUAACAGACCUCUAGCAUCUACACCCCUCCCUUCUCUAACAUGAGACCAAUAUUAAAUAUAAUAUAUACUCUCAUUCAUUUCCAUAGGGACAGAUACAAUCAAUCAUUGACACACUGAAUAUACAACAGUCAGAUGCAUGACACCAUCACCAAUGUUAUAACUUUCUCCGUCACUGAGCAGAUUUCAGGUCUGCUGAACGCAAACUUUAAUGUUGUGAAAAUUCUGUACAACUUCCAGGGUGUGUUUACUGUGAACACAGAGGCUGUACCCCCUUUAAGUUACAGUUAACAGUGGACAAGUAGGCUACUGUGGCUAUUUGAUCAUAAUGUAGAUCUACCAGAGUGACCUACCAUCAAAUACAAUGGAGAAAAUACAUCCCAUAACAUUUUAACAUGGAAACAGCUGUUCUAUCAUUCAGCCUACAGUAGCAGCCAAUGUGUGGUGUUCAACGUAGACCUACAUUCCAUGAGACUUUUGAAAGAAACAUGCAGGGCUAGACAUUAACCUGUUAAUCCACUCAUCCAACCGGGAUAAUAACUCACUAACUAGCAGAGGAGAUGAACAAAAUGUCCAGCAAGCAGGCCAACAGCCCGAGACCCCAAACAAUAGGAACACAAGGCUUUAUCAUGGGUUUUUACAGAAAUGUUUGGCGAUCCACUAGGAAUGCCAUGAAGAUCAACCAGUUGAUCGCGAUCAACCGAUUGGUGACCAGCUGCUCUAGAAAAUGGAGUGAAUUUCAAUCUCGUGCUUCUCGCUAUUGGCUGAUUUAUCUGCAGUUUAGAGGGAACAUUGUGUCACACCCUGAUCUGUUUCACCUGUCUUUGUGAUUAUCUCCACCCCUUCCAGGUGUAGCCCAUCUUCCCCAUUAUCCCCUGUGUAUUUAUGCCUGUGUUUUAUGUUUGUCUGAAGCCAGUUUGUACUGUUUGUUCAAGUCAACCAGUGGUUUGUGUCUGCGCCUGCUUUUUCCCAGUCUCUGUUUUCUUGUCCUCCCGGUUUUGACCCUUGCCUGUCCUGACUCUGAGCCCGCCUGCCUGACCACUCUGCCUGAGCCUGCUUGCUGAUCUGUACCUCAGCCCUCCUCUGGAUUACCGAUCUCUGCCUACCCUGAGCAUGCCUGCCGUCCUGUACCUUUGCCCCCUUACUCUGGACUAUCGACCCCUGCCUGCCUUGACCUGUCUUUGCCUGCCAAUGUUGUCUGCAUUUGGGUCUUACCUAGGUUCUAAUAACACUGACCAUCACACCUUAACUGACAUUAGUGCCUGUCCCCAGAUGGACAGUUACGCUACAGUAAAGUACAUUUACAGCUGAUCACAUCAUUGUCCUGCUUUGAGACAGAUUUUUACUGUCUGCUUCCAGCUGCAUGUUCUUUUACUAGCCCUGAAAAUGGUAAUAUAUCAAAAUAUAUCUCAGUAACUGUCACAAGUGUAUAGCACAGCAUCCUACCUGUGCUCCACAACAGGGUCAUCAAUAUCACUGCAGGUAUCAUAUCUGUCUCUAACUGGGGCUCCACUGAGUGAAACAAGUCUACUGUCAUGAAGAGAGGACUGAAGAGUGAGAAAUACUGCUUGGCUAUAUGACUUCUAACUCAUUACUUCCUUACUUCAAUUAUGUGGCAAACUGUUAAGCAAAUCAGACCAGUUAAACCCACCUACCUACAGGAAACAUUGAGAUUAGAAAAACUCCACAUGAAACUGCUGACAGAGCAGCAGUUACACAUAGUGUGUCCUGUAAUAUCUUACCUAAUUGUCAGUGCUUGACUUGUGAAAGUCACCUCUAACUGUCUGUGGUGUAGAAGCUAGAGGUCUGUUACCCAAGUCAACUCAACAGGUGUGGUAGUAAAUUAGAAAUUAGAUGCUAUUUUUUUACUUAGAGAAUUGUCUGUUAAAUGCUAUUGUUUUUUUCACUGAUACAAACUUGUCUUGUGUAACUUAGUGAUAAGCCUGGGUGUACAGCCAAGAGCUGUUUGGGUGGGACCGCAGUGUGUAACUUAGUGAUAAGCCUGGGCGUACAGCCAAGAGCUGUUUGGGUGUGACCGCAGUGUGUAACUUAGUGAUAAGCCUGGGCGUACAGCCAAGAGCUGUUUGGGUGGGACCGCAGUGUGUAACUUAGUGAUAAGCCUGGGUGUACAGCCAAGAGCUGUUUGGGUGGGACCGCAGUGUGUAACUUAGUGAUAAGCCUGGGUGUACAGCCAAGAGCUGUUUGGGUGGGACCGCAGUGUGUGACUUAGUGAUAAGCCUGGGCGUACAGCCAAGAGCUGUUUGGGUGGGACCGCAGUGUGUAACUUAGUGAUAAGCCUGGGCGUACAGCCAAGAGCUGUUUGGGUGGGACCGCAGUGUGUGACUUAGUGAUAAGCCUGGGUGUACAGCCAAGAGCUGUUUGGGUGGGACCGCAGUGUGUGACUUAGUGAUAAGCCUGGGUGUACAGCCAAGAGCUGUUUGGGUGGGACCGCAGUGUGUGACUUAGUGAUAAGCCUGGGUGUACAGCCAAGAGCUGUUUGGGUGGGACCGCAGUGUGUGACUUAGUGAUAAGCCUGGGCGUACAGCCAAGAGCUGUUUGGGUGGGACCGCAGUGUGUAACUUAGUGAUAAGCCUGGGUGUACAGCCAAGAGCUGUUUGGGUGGGACUGCAGUGUGUGACACAUCCUGAUUUUCACAAUGUGCAGGAACUCCGCUGUGUGGAAACAUGCAGAAUGGAUCAGAGAAUAGUGUGAGCUGUGGUAACGCUAGACGGCUGAGCCCUGGUGCUGUCAAUGUCAGCUAUCUUCAUCUGCACAGACAAGUGAGAAGAAGAGGUCAUUGGGGCGGGACUACCACCCUCUGUGUCUGAAGUGUCAACAGUGUCAGAGACAGUUGACCCCGGGACAACAUGCUGAGGCUAUCAACAAGGAUCUAUGUUCAACAAAACUGACAUUCAGCCAACGACCAACCAACUAGACUCAACAUUCAGCCAACCAACAUUUGACCAAUCAAGAAAUGCUCUGAAAGUCCCCCUCUUUCAGUCAAUCAUAAAACAACUACCUGGACCACAACAUUGUGUUCAAUGGAGACAACGGUUGUUCUUCAAUAAAACAGAAGCUUCUACAGUC
This is an RNA transcript of Salvelinus fontinalis (brook trout), 7937 nucleotides long. It is a transcript of the gene named cysteine-rich protein 2-like, with no coding region annotated. The transcript is spliced from 3 exons. NCBI's taxonomy places the organism in Eukaryota, Metazoa, Chordata, Actinopteri, Salmoniformes, Salmonidae. The record is from RefSeq and is a predicted model, not a curated record.